UUUCCGUAGGUGAACCUGCGGAAGGAUCAUUACCUUUGGCUGCCGUGAGCUCUUCGGCGUGAGCGACAGUCAUUCUAUAGUGACGUCUCGUGUACGGGAAACCGGCGCGGGGCUGACCUAACCCUUCUCUACGAGUACCUAUUAUUCUCCUUCGGCGGGGCAACCCGCCGCUGGAACUUAAGAACCAACUUGCAUUUAGCAUUACCUGUUCUGAUAACAAUUAAUUAUUACAACUUUCAACAAUGGAUCUCUUGGCUCUGGCAUCGAUGAAGAACGCAGC
Molecule: unclassified non-coding RNA, 280 nt
Filed under: uncultured fungus
Lineage: Eukaryota; Fungi
Description: sequence contains ITS1, 5.8S rRNA gene
Rfam family: 5.8S ribosomal RNA (bases 232-280)
Source: RNAcentral